Tupaia belangeri chinensis (Chinese tree shrew) is the source of this 654-nucleotide long non-coding RNA. RefSeq lists it as uncharacterized. The record is from RefSeq and is a predicted model, not a curated record. The transcript has 3 exons. NCBI's taxonomy places the organism in Eukaryota, Metazoa, Chordata, Mammalia, Scandentia, Tupaiidae.
UGCACACCGUACACUCUUCUAUUUCCCCUCCACCCUUGGGGUUCCAACCUGUUCCCUGUCUCCCGCCGGGUCUCACUCCAGCGAGAUCUCCAUGAGCCCAGAUUUGGGGCAGAAGUGGUGGAAUUCUCUGGGCCAACCCCACAUCUAAAUGAAGAGAAGGUGCACAGUCAGUGUGCGAGAGGUAUCCGAGGAUGGACUGUGCCCUUUCGGGAGCUGAGGGAGAGCGAAAAUUCCAUGUGAUCAAAAGUGGUGACUUUCCAGCAGAGUCACUCUGCAUGGGGAGAGGAGGGAGUCUUGUCUCCAGACCUGUUUUACGAUGAAUUUGACACACAGACCUUUUUCUUUAUGCACGCAGAAUUGGAUGGUGGUUGAGGAGGCUGGGUUCUAGUUACGGGUUGUUCAUAUUCCAUGGACUUUCUCAGUGACUGGGUGAGGAAGUGGCUGAUUCCAUGCCCAGCUUUAUAGGUCUGGGAAGAAAGCCAGUGACCUGCCCAUGAAGGUCUGGGGUUUGACAACUUUUCUGGCAGAGUUUCAACAUUGUGUCCACCAUUCUCAUGAUUUUAGCACUUUCCUGGUUUAGGGGCCCAUUAUAGAAGGUAAUUAAGGGGGCAGCAAGUGGCAUGGUGGUUAAAGGCACUGGACUCCCACAUGGCU